This 423-nucleotide ribosomal RNA is filed under the name uncultured bacterium. RNAcentral's name for it is "bacterial SSU rRNA". It matches the Rfam family "Bacterial small subunit ribosomal RNA", at positions 207 to 622 of the family's 1533-position model. The record is from RNAcentral.
AAGACCUUGCGCUUUUGGAGCGGCCGAUGCCUGAUUAGCUUGUUGGUAAGGUAAAAGCUUACCAAGGCUUCGAUCAGUAGCUGGUCUGAGAGGACGACCAGCCACACUGGGACUGAGACACGGCCCAGACUCCUACGGGAGGCAGCAGUGGGGAAUUUUGGACAAUGGGCGCAAGCCUGAUCCAGCCAUGCCGCGUGAGUGAAGAAGGCCUUCGGGUUGUAAAGCUCUUUCAGUCGGGAAGAAAAGGUUGCGACUAAUAAUCGCAAUUCAUGACGGUACCGGAAGAAGAAGCACCGGCUAACUACGUGCCAGCAGCCGCGGUAAUACGUAGGGUGCGAGCGUUAAUCGGAAUUACUGGGCGUAAAGGGUGCGCAGGCGGUUUUGUAAGUCAGAUGUGAAAUCCCCGGGCUUAACCUGGGAACU